CAGCAGCCACGGUAAUACGAAGGGUGCAAGCGUUAAUCGGAAUUACUGGGCGUAAAGCGUGCGUAGGCGGUUUGUUAAGUCUGCUGUGAAAUCCCCGGGCUCAACCUGGGAAUGGCAGUGGAUACUGGCAAGCUAGAGUGUGUCAGAGGAUGGUGGAAUUCCCGGUGUAGCGGUGAAAUGCGUAGAGAUCGGGAGGAACAUCAGUGGCGAAGGCGGCCAUCUGGGACAACACUGACGCUGAGGCACGAAAGCGUGGGGAGCAAACAGGAUUAGAGACCCCCGUAGUCCCUGUCUCUUAUAC
This 301-nucleotide ribosomal RNA is filed under the name uncultured bacterium. Its description in RNAcentral is "partial 16S ribosomal RNA". It matches the Rfam family "Bacterial small subunit ribosomal RNA", at positions 509 to 807 of the family's 1533-position model. The record is from RNAcentral.